This is a non-coding RNA of Phasianus colchicus (ring-necked pheasant), 947 nucleotides long. NCBI's taxonomy places the organism in Eukaryota, Metazoa, Chordata, Aves, Galliformes, Phasianidae. The record is from RefSeq and is a predicted model, not a curated record.
ACUGUAGGUCGGAGGGAGAGAGAGAGAAGGGUGUUGGUAGGGCGGAUCUGGAGGACUUUCAGACCCAUAGAUACUGAUUGGAGGUCCUCCAGGGUUGUUGGAGGUCCUCCAGACCCAGGAAUUCCCAAUCAGGGUCCUCCAGACCCAUAGAUACUGAUUGGAGGUCCUCCAAGGUUGUUGGAGGUCCUCCAGACCCAUAGAUCCCAACUUGGGGGUCCUCCAGCCCCAUUGGAGGUCCUCCAGCCCCAUAGAUCCCAACUUGGGGGGCAGGAAGAGGCGUGGAGGACCUGCACCUCUGGGGCUGAAUGAGGUGGAACGCUGCAGACUGUAGGUCGGAGGGAGAGAGAGAGAAGGGUGUUGGUAGGGGGGAUCUGGAGGACUUUCCGGCCCAUAGAUACUGAUUGGAGGUCCUCCAGGGCUUUUGGGGGUCCUCCAGGGCUGUUGGAGGUCCUCCAGACCCAUAGAUACUGAUUGGAAGUCCUCCAGGGUUGUUGGAGGUCCUCCAGACCCAUAGAUACUGACUGGAAGUCCUCCAAGGUUGUUGGAGGUCCUCCAGCCCCAUAGAUUCCCAAUCGGGGUCCUCCAGCCCCAUAGAUACUGAUUGAAAGUCCUCCAAGGUUGUUGGAGGUCCUCCAGCCCCACAGGAGGACCUCCAACACCACUGGAGGACCUCCCCCAAGUCCUCCAAGCCCCCCCAGCCCCACAGGAGGACCUUCCCCCAAGUCCUCCAGCCCCACAGGAGGACCUCCAACCCUACAGGAGGACCUCCAGCCCCACAGGAGGACCUCCCCAAGUCCUCCAACCCCACUGGAGGACCUCCCCAAGUCCUCCAACCCCACAGGAGGACCUCCCAAGUCCUCCAGCCCCACAGGAGGACCUCCAACCCCAUAGAAGGACCUCCAACCUUACAGGAGGACCUUCCCCCAAGUCCUCCAACCCCACAGGAG